UGCCGGGCGACGGCCAGCCCAUGGGGGCGCUGACCUCGCCCCGGGGGAAGCUGGAGCUCGCGGCCGCCACCCUGGGCGGCGCGGCCCCCUUCUGCCUCGUGGGGAAGGACCGGCCCGCCGCGAAGGGCGGGGAGCAGUUCCUGCCGCUCCACUUCUACAGGAAGGGCGGCGGCAGCAGCGGCAG
This 184-nucleotide non-coding RNA is filed under the name Heterosigma akashiwo. The record is from RNAcentral. Lineage: Eukaryota; Raphidophyceae; Chattonellales; Chattonellaceae.